UGACAGUGCCUUCUUUUGGAGAAGAGGGGGAGGACAGUUUAUACCUUCAGUUCACUGGAGCUACUUGAUUGCAGACUAACUGAAUGGUCUCUGGAAAGAUUAGGCAAGGCUGCAGGCAUCAGCUACCUCACCACUCUCUGCCUGGACUACACAUGCAUGGGACAGGAAGGGUUGAAAGGUUUGCUGACUGGUGGUUGGGGGCCAGUCAAAUAUCUUCCCUGAGUUUGUGAUAUUGUGGUUGGAGUUCAUGGAGAGGAGCUCUGCUAGCUUUACUCCUCACCAACAAUUCUGUGAGGGAGGUCUACAUCAAUGGCAAUGAGCUGCAGUGUGUGGGGGUGCCACUGAGUUGCUGAAACCUGUGGCUGAAAACAGCCAAAAACUGGCAGUGAUCCAAAACAGGUCCACAUCUAUCACAGUAUAGUUAAGUUCUCCUGUUGCCUGACCGAACUGGAUCUCGGUGAGAAUCACAUCGGAGAGGACGGUGGGAAAGUGCUUUUAGAGGCCCUGAGAGACAGACAAGUAGUAAAAAUUCAGGUGUCAACACGCAUGUCCACAGAAACACUGAGUGCCAUUAUGAAAAGUGCAAAGGAGCUUAAAUCUGGGGAAA
Molecule: long non-coding RNA, 607 nt
Organism: Cyprinus carpio carpio
Lineage: Eukaryota; Metazoa; Chordata; Actinopteri; Cypriniformes; Cyprinidae
Source: Ensembl